Molecule: ribosomal RNA, 329 nt
Filed under: uncultured eukaryote
Lineage: Eukaryota
Description: partial 18S ribosomal RNA
Rfam family: Eukaryotic small subunit ribosomal RNA
Source: RNAcentral
CCCUUAGAUGUUCUGGGCCGCACGCGCGCUACACUGAUGCAUUCAAUGAGUCUAAAACCUGCUCUGAUAGGGGUGGGUAAUCUUUUGAAUGUGCAUCGUGAUUGGGAUAGAUGAUUGCAAUUUUUCAUCUUCAACGAGGAAUGCCUAGUAAACGCAAGUCAUCAGCUUGCAUUGAUUACGUCCCUGCCCUUUGUACACACCGCCCGUCGCUCCUACCGAUUGAAUGAUCCGAUGAAUAUCAUGGAUUGAGGAUGCAAGUAGGUUCGCCUAUCUUCAUCUUCGAGAAGUGAAGUAAAUCUUAUCAUUUAGAGGAAGGAGAAGUCGUAACA